This 891-nucleotide ribosomal RNA is filed under the name uncultured bacterium. Its description in RNAcentral is "bacterial SSU rRNA". It matches the Rfam family "Bacterial small subunit ribosomal RNA", at positions 602 to 1504 of the family's 1533-position model. The record is from RNAcentral.
CCAGAGCUUAACUCUGGAACUGCCAUCAAAACUUUUCAGCUAGAGUUUGAUAGAGGAAAGCAGAAUUUCUAGUGUAGAGGUGAAAUUCGUAGAUAUUAGAAAGAAUACCAAUUGCGAAGGCAGCUUUCUGGAUCAAUACUGACACUGAGGAACGAAAGCAUGGGUAGCGAAGAGGAUUAGAUACCCUCGUAGUCCAUGCCGUAAACGAUGUGUGUUAGACGUUGGAAAUUUAUUUUCAGUGUCGCAGUGAAAGCGAUAAACACACCGCCUGGGGAGUACGACCGCAAGGUUAAAACUCAAAUGAAUUGACGGGGACCCGCACAAGUAGUGGAGCAUGUGGUUUAAUUCGAAGAUACGCGCAGAACCUUACCAACACUUGACAUGUUCGUCGCGACUUUAAGAGAUUAAAGUUUUCGGUUCGGCCGGACGAAACACAGGUGCUGCAUGGCUGUCGUCAGCUCGUGUCGUGAGAUGUUGGGUUAAGUCCCGCAACGAGCGCAACCCUCACUUUUAGUUGCCAUCAUUUAGUUGGGCACUCUGAAAGAACUGCCAGUGAUAAGCUGGAGGAAGGUGGGGAUGACGUCAAGUCCUCAUGGCCCUUACGUGUUGGGCUACACACGUGCUACAAUGGUAUUUACAACAGGAAGCAAGACGGCGACGUUUAGCAAAUCCUUAAAAAAUACCUCAGUUCGGAUUGCACUCUGCAACUCGAGUGCAUGAAGCUGGAAUUACUAGUAAUCGUGGAUCAGCGUGCCACGGUGAAUGCGUUCCCGGGUCUUGUACACACCGCCCGUCACACCAUGGGAGUUGGUUCUACCUUAAGGCAAGGUUUAAUACCCUUGACCACGGUAUAGUCAGCGACUGGGGCGAAGUCGUAACAAGGUAACCGUA